UCGACAAAUAUCUGCUCAUGACUCUCACAACAAGAUAUACGAAAUCGAGUAUAUAGUAUGGCAUACUCCUAUGCCUAAGAGGAUAAUGGAUCUCUUUUAAAGAUUUCUAUGCUGAACCCUUUUAGCACCUCUUUCAUGUACUUAUCUGUGAAAAACCAAAUAUCCUUUAAGAUUUAUCUCCAUAGACCUUUAAUCCUAGAAUAUAGGAUGUUUGCACUAGAUCUUAAUAAAAAUUCUAUAUAC
Molecule: long non-coding RNA, 243 nt
Filed under: Elaeis guineensis (African oil palm)
Lineage: Eukaryota; Viridiplantae; Streptophyta; Magnoliopsida; Arecales; Arecaceae
Description: long non-coding RNA (EGUI_LNC057945)
Source: RNAcentral